RNAcentral lists this ribosomal RNA (292 nucleotides) under uncultured bacterium. Its description in RNAcentral is "partial 16S ribosomal RNA". It matches the Rfam family "Bacterial small subunit ribosomal RNA", at positions 505 to 796 of the family's 1533-position model. The record is from RNAcentral.
GUGUCAGCCGCCGCGGUAAGACGGAGGUCCCUAGCGUUGUUCGGAAUUACUGGGCUUAAAGCGCGUGUAGGCGGAAGGGCAAGUACCUUGUGAAAUCCCCGGGCUCAACCCGGGAAUGGCUGGGUAUACUGCCUUUCUUGAGGCAGGUAGGGGUCACUGGAACCUUAGGUGGAGCGGUGAAAUGCGUAGAUAUCUAAGGGAACGCCUGUGGCGAAAGCGGGUGACUGGGCCUGUCCUGACGCUGAGACGCGAAAGCGUAGGGAGCAAACGGGAUUAGAAACCCGCGUAGUCC